Molecule: long non-coding RNA, 382 nt
Filed under: Mytilus galloprovincialis (Mediterranean mussel)
Lineage: Eukaryota; Metazoa; Mollusca; Bivalvia; Mytilida; Mytilidae
Source: RNAcentral
UAGCAAUAUAUGAAUUUAGUUUUUAGCUCACCUGGCCUGAAGGGCCAAGUAGAGCUUUUCUCAUCACUUGGUGUCCAUUGUCCGGCUCGGUGUCCAGCGUCGGCGUCGUCUGUCAUCUUUAACUUUUACAAAAAUCUUCUCCUCUAAAACUACUUGGCCAAAUUAACCAUACUUGGCCACAAUCAUCAUUGAGGUAUCUAGUUUAAAAAAUGAGUGCAGUGACCCAGCCAACCAACCAAGAUGGCCAUCAUGGCUAAAAAUAGAACAUAGGGGUAAAAUGUAGAUUUUGGCUUAUAAUUCUGAAGCCUAAGCAUUAAGAGCAUUCAGACAUGGGGUUAAAUUGUUUUGCUUAUCUGCCCUGAAAUUUUCAGAUGAAUCGGAC